Molecule: ribosomal RNA, 382 nt
Filed under: Xanthomonas citri pv. citri
Lineage: Bacteria; Pseudomonadati; Pseudomonadota; Gammaproteobacteria; Lysobacterales; Lysobacteraceae
Description: partial 23S ribosomal RNA
Rfam family: Bacterial large subunit ribosomal RNA
Source: RNAcentral
CAAGCGCAUUAACAGGUGUGACGCAGGAAGGUAGCCGGGCCGGGCAAUGGAAAUGACCUGGUCUAAGGGUGUAGGGCUGCCGGUAGGUAAAUCCGCCGGCUGUAUGCCUGAGACCUGAUGGGCGCCCACAUGGUGGGUGAUCCGGUGAUCCUAUGCUGCCUAGAAAAGCAUCGGCGCGAGGUUCAAACUGCCCGUACCCUAAACCGACACAGGUGGUCAGGUAGAGAAUACUAAGGCGAUCGAGAGAAUCAUGGUUAAGGAACUCGGCAAAAUGCCCCCGUAACUUCGGGAGAAGGGGGGCCCCAACCUUGAGCACCACGUGCUGGUGUGAGGGGAUCGGGGCCGCAGAGACCAGGGGGAAGCGACUGUUUAUCAAAAACAC